GGCGGACGGGUGAGUAACGCGUGAGUAACCUGCCCUUAGGAACGGGAUAGCGUCUGGAAACGGACGGUAAUACCGUAUAAAGUAUUCUGACCGCAUGAUCGGAAUACCAAAGCUCCGACGCCUAAGGAUGGACUCGCGUCUGAUUAGAUAGUUGGUGGGGUAACGGCCUACCAAGUCGACGAUCAGUAGCCGGACUGAGAGGUUGAACGGCCACAUUGGGACUGAGACACGGCCCAGACUCCUACGGGAGGCAGCAGUGGGGAAUAUUGCACAAUGGGGGAAACCCUGAUGCAGCAACGCCGCGUGAAGGAAGACGGUUUUCGGAUUGUAAACUUCUGUUCUUAGUGAAGAAUAAUGACGGUAGCUAAGGAGCAAGCCACGGCUAACUACGUGCCAGCAGCCGCGGUAAUACGUAGGUGGCAAGCGUUGUCCGGAAUUACUGGGUGUAAAGGGAGCGUAGGCGGGAAGCCAAGUCAGCUGUGAAAACUACGGGCUUAACCUGUAGACUGCAGUUGAAACUGGUUUUCUUGAGUGAAGUAGAGGUUGGCGGAAUUCCGAGUGUAGCGGUGAAAUGCGUAGAUAUUCGGAGGAACACCGGUGGCGAAGGCGGCCAACUGGGCUUUAACUGACGCUGAGGCUCGAAAGUGUGGGGAGCAAACAGGAUUAGAUACCCUGGUAGUCCACACUGUAAACGAUGAUAACUAGGAGUGGGGGGGUCUGACCCCCUCUGUGCCGCAGCUAACGCAAUAAGUUAUCCACCUGGGGAGUACGACCGCAAGGUUGAAACUCAAAGGAAUUGA
This 800-nucleotide ribosomal RNA is filed under the name uncultured bacterium. RNAcentral's name for it is "bacterial SSU rRNA". It matches the Rfam family "Bacterial small subunit ribosomal RNA", at positions 97 to 913 of the family's 1533-position model. The record is from RNAcentral.